GAUGAAGAACGCAGCGAAAUGCGAUACGUAAUGUGAAUUGCAGAAUUCAGUGAAUCAUCGAGUCUUUGAACGCACAUUGCGCCCCCUGGUGUUCCGGGGGGCAUGCCUGUCCGAGCGUCAUUGCUGCCCUCAAGCACGGCUUGUGUGUUGGGCCUCCGUCCUCCUCCCGGGGGACGGGCCCGAAAGGCAGCGGCGGCACCGCGUCCGGUCCUCGAGCGUAUGGGGCUUCGUCACCCGCUCUUGUAGGCCCGGCCGGCGCUUGCCGACACAUCAAUCUUUUUUCCAGGUUGACCUCGGAUCAGGUAGGGAUACCCGCUGAACUUAAGCAUAUCAAUAAGCGGAGGA
Molecule: unclassified non-coding RNA, 345 nt
Filed under: soil metagenome
Description: partial contains 5.8S ribosomal RNA, internal transcribed spacer 2, and large subunit ribosomal RNA
Rfam family: 5.8S ribosomal RNA (bases 1-120)
Source: RNAcentral